RNAcentral lists this ribosomal RNA (1432 nucleotides) under uncultured organism. RNAcentral describes it as "SSU rRNA". It matches the Rfam family "Bacterial small subunit ribosomal RNA". The record is from RNAcentral.
UCGACAGGCUUAACACAUGCAAGUCGAGGGGCAGCGGGGGUAGCGAUACCCGCCGGCGACCGGCGCACGGGUGAGUAACGCGUAUGCAACUUGCCUAUCAGAGGGGGAUAACCCGGCGAAAGUCGGACUAAUACCGCAUGAAGCAGGGAUCCCGCAUGGGAAUAUUUGCUAAAGAUUCAUCGCUGAUAGAUAGGCAUGCGUUCCAUUAGGCAGUUGGCGGGGUAACGGCCCACCAAGCCGACGAUGGAUAGGGGUUCUGAGAGGAAGGUCCCCCACAUUGGUACUGAGACACGGACCAAACUCCUACGGGAGGCAGCAGUGAGGAAUAUUGGUCAAUGGCCGAGAGGCUGAACCAGCCAAGUCGCGUGAGGGAUGAAGGUUCUAUGGAUCGUAAACCUCUUUUAUAAGGGAAUAAAGUGCGGGACGUGUCCCGUUUUGUAUGUACCUUAUGAAUAAGGAUCGGCUAACUCCGUGCCAGCAGCCGCGGUAAUACGGAGGAUCCGAGCGUUAUCCGGAUUUAUUGGGUUUAAAGGGUGCGUAGGCGGCCUUUUAAGUCAGCGGUGAAAGUCUGUGGCUCAACCAUAGAAUUGCCGUUGAAACUGGGGGGCUUGAGUAUGUUUGAGGCAGGCGGAAUGCGUGGUGUAGCGGUGAAAUGCAUAGAUAUCACGCAGAACCCCGAUUGCGAAGGCAGCCUGCCAAGCCAUGACUGACGCUGAUGCACGAAAGCGUGGGGAUCAAACAGGAUUAGAUACCCUGGUAGUCCACGCAGUAAACGAUGAUCACUAGCUGUUUGCGAUACACUGUAAGCGGCACAGCGAAAGCGUUAAGUGAUCCACCUGGGGAGUACGCCGGCAACGGUGAAACUCAAAGGAAUUGACGGGGGCCCGCACAAGCGGAGGAACAUGUGGUUUAAUUCGAUGAUACGCGAGGAACCUUACCCGGGUUUGAACGCAUUCGGACCGAGGUGGAAACACCUUUUCUAGCAAUAGCCGUUUGCGAGGUGCUGCAUGGUUGUCGUCAGCUCGUGCCGUGAGGUGUCGGCUUAAGUGCCAUAACGAGCGCAACCCUUGCCACUAGUUACUAACAGGUGAUGCUGAGGACUCUGGUGGGACUGCCAGCGUAAGCUGCGAGGAAGGCGGGGAUGACGUCAAAUCAGCACGGCCCUUACAUCCGGGGCGACACACGUGUUACAAUGGCGUGGACAAAGGGAGGCCACCUGGCGACAGGGAGCGAAUCCCCAAACCACGUCUCAGUUCGGAUCGGAGUCUGCAACCCGACUCCGUGAAGCUGGAUUCGCUAGUAAUCGCGCAUCAGCCAUGGCGCGGUGAAUACGUUCCCGGGCCUUGUACACACCGCCCGUCAAGCCAUGGGAGCCGGGGGUACCUGAAGUCCGUAACCGCGAGGAUCGGCCUAGGGUAAAACUGGUGACUGG